This 801-nucleotide ribosomal RNA is filed under the name Genea verrucosa. RNAcentral's name for it is "LSU rRNA". It matches the Rfam family "Eukaryotic large subunit ribosomal RNA", at positions 82 to 888 of the family's 3401-position model. Lineage: Eukaryota; Fungi; Ascomycota; Pezizomycetes; Pezizales; Pyronemataceae. The record is from RNAcentral.
AGUAACUGCGAGUGAAGUGGCAAAAGCUCAAAUUUGAAAUCCGGUACCUCCGGUGCCUGAGUUGUAAUUUGGAGAGACAAAUUUGGUUGGCAGCGCUGGCCUAGGUUACCUUGGAACAGGACAUCAUAGAGGGUGAGAAUCCCGUGCCCGGCUGGAAUGGCUGCCAUGCCGCUAAAUUGUCUUCGACGAGUCGAGUUGUUUGGGAAUGCAGCUCAAAAUGGGUGGUAAAUGUCAUCUAAAGCUAAAUAUUGGCGAGAGACCGAUAGCGCACAAGUAGAGUGAUCGAAAGAUGAAAAGCACUUUGAAAAGAGAGUCAAAAAGUACGUGAAAUUGCUGAAAGGGAAGCGCUUGAGACCAGACUCGAAACGUGAUGAUCAGCUGCGCUUCUGUGCGGCUACACUCGCCACGAUUCGGGCCAGCAUCGGUUCUGGCGGCCGGACAAAAGGUGGGGGAAUGUAGCUUCCUUCGGGGAGUGUUAUCAGACCCCAUCACAAUGUGGCCAGCCGGGACCGAGGACAGCGCUCUGUAUGGAGCUAGGAUGCUGGCGCAAUGGUCUUAAGCGACCCGUCUUGAAACACGGACCAAGGAGUCUAACAUCUAUGCGAGUGUUCGGGUGGAAAACCCUUGCGCGAAAUGAAAGUGAACGGAGGUGGGAACCCGCAAGGGUGCACCAUCGACCGAUCCCGAUGUCUUCGGAGGGAUUUGAGUAGGAGCAUAGCUGUUGGGACCCGAAAGAUGGUGAACUAUGCCUGAAUAGGGUGAAGCCAGANGAAACUCUGGUGGAGGCUCGCAGCGGUUCUG